CAAACUCAAACCCUAAUGCAUCAAUGAGUUGUAUCAUACAAGUCAUCAUUGCAUCAUGAUCUGAGAGAGAGAGAGAGAGAGAGAGAGAGAGUUUAAUUACCACUGAAAUCUUGAGUGGUGGUGCAAGGUGGGAGAAUUGGAGUGAGAGAGGUAGGGGCAUGAUGGUCAUCUUCUUGGGAGGACUGUAACAUGAAAUUGGUGGAGAAGAAGGCCAUUCCAGUGCAAGUCAUCAGCUGUUUAAGCCACCUCUAUAGCUUUGUUGUUUAUAUGACCUGUGGAAACAUUCCAAGAUUUCUUUGUAGUCUCUUCAUCAUGUUUAGAGAGAGAAAGAGAGAGAGAUCUAGAGAGAGGAGAGAAAC
This 359-nucleotide long non-coding RNA is filed under the name Lactuca sativa (garden lettuce). RNAcentral describes it as "long non-coding RNA (LSAT_LNC002330)". Lineage: Eukaryota; Viridiplantae; Streptophyta; Magnoliopsida; Asterales; Asteraceae. The record is from RNAcentral.